Molecule: long non-coding RNA, 1552 nt
Organism: Scylla paramamosain (green mud crab)
Lineage: Eukaryota; Metazoa; Arthropoda; Malacostraca; Decapoda; Portunidae
Exons: 9
Source: RefSeq, a predicted model, not a curated record
CGCCUCCGGUAUUGCUGGCCCCGACGACCUGCGCGGGACGACGAGGCUGAACUGGGACUGAGGGGCGGCCUGCAGAUGGUGCGGCGGAGAGUCUGCGAGCUCGACUGUGAGGGAGAGAGAGAGAGGGGAAAGGAAGAUUGCUGAGUUCCCGGACAACUUGACGCAAUAGAUUUGCCUUGAAUGAGAAAACUUCCCAGUCCUCGCCGGCUGCUGCUCCCUCGAGGCCCCAGGAGUCUUGAUCCAUAACCUGAGAGAAGCCAGCACCUGAGCCCACCUGCAGGCCCCGCGGACACUUAUCUCAAGCCUGCCAGAGACGGUGUUGCGGUGAGCACAGUUAUGGCGGCAGGUUUCCCCACAACUGGAUACGAUCUGACGUGCGUUGCCGGUCCCUCAUGAAUACCUGAGUGACUAUAUAUUGCAGCAGGCCAAGUGUGAGUGGGCCUGUAACACCGGGAGUGGCGUGAGGCAGCGCGGAGCCACCUAGUGAGAUGCACCUGUGACUCUUAACACUUCCGAGUUCCUGCAAGGUCGAGUGUCAUCGUGGAAUGCAUGGGUGAAGCGUGACAUUGCAGAUGGUAUGGCUUUAUAUUACUGGCGCUCGUGUCUAGAGGACGUGAGGGGGGCGAGAGAGACAGGCAGACACUGACGGGCAAGGCUGAAAGGCAGCAGCAAGACGGACAGAAUAAAAUGCGACGGAGACGACUCAGACAGGCAGCAAGGCUGGUGCGGGGAGGCACACCUGCACGGCGCCUGGUCCUCCUGCCGGUGAAUUAUGUGUUCCUGAACUUUUGUAUUUCCAGAAGGGUUGGUAUUCUUUACGUCACAUAUAUACUACUGUCUUUUCCUUUUUCUUGUGUUGAUAUUUAUGUUUGAUUAAUAUACUGGAAAACUGUAUAAUGACUGAUAUAAAUAUUUCACGAUCACUUGAAAAAAAAAAAUAAAUAAAAAAUACGUAGUAAUUGAAAACCAUGACACAAUGGGAAAGUAUUGUAAUAAAAAUGUAAGAACUGCUAUUUGUGGAUGAGCAUGAAUAACUGAUAUGAGAUUUUUAUAUAUGAUAUAUUUCUGUGCACUUUGUAACAUACUAGACUUAUUAUUAUUUUUAAAGAUUUGUAAUAUUCACGAAAUAUCUAUGAUAACCUUUAUAUCUUUAUUAAGAAAAUUGUUUACUCUAAAAUAAUAUGAAUAUAUGAAGAAAACACAAGUAAUAACAAACAAACAAAAUGAAGUAAUGCAAAUAAAACACACCUUGUAUAGUUUCUGACCAAAAUUUCCCUCUUUUUUUUCUCUAAAAUGUAAAGAAAGUAUCAUCAGAUCAGAAUAAAGACUACGAUAAAACACUGAAUUUUAGGAAUGAGAAUGAUACAUUACUCUACUUUUGGCCGUGACUCCUCCUACUGUAGCUUUUGUUUUGUGUUUAUUUGUUUGUACAUUUGCUCACUACCUCUCUACCCUCAUAAGUGUCAAGUUUUCGCGUUAGAGGGAGAGUUUUAUUUGCUGAUGUAAAACUUGCAGUGAUCUUUCCGUGUUAUUUGUUUUUUCUUUUCAUUUU